UACGGGGGUGGCAAGCGUUGUUCGGAAUUACUGGGCGUAAAGGGCGCGUAGGCGGCAUUACAAGUCAGAUGUGAAAUCCCUGGGCUUAACUCAGGAAUUGCAUCUGAAACUGUUUUGCUUGAGUCCUGGAGGGGGUAGUGGAAUUCCCAGUGUAGCGGUGAAAUGCGUAGAUAUUGGGAGGAACACCUGCGGCGAAGGCGGCUACCUGGACAGUGACUGACGCUGAGGCGCGAAAGCUAGGGGAGCGAACGGG
RNAcentral lists this ribosomal RNA (253 nucleotides) under uncultured bacterium. RNAcentral's name for it is "partial 16S ribosomal RNA". It matches the Rfam family "Bacterial small subunit ribosomal RNA", at positions 524 to 776 of the family's 1533-position model. The record is from RNAcentral.